CAGUUUAACGGCCGCGGUACCCUAACCGUGCGAAGGUAGCAUAAUCACUUGUUUCUUAAAUAGAGACUAGUAUCAACGGCAUCACGAAGACUAUACUGUCUCCCCCCUAAAAUCAAUGAAACUGAUCUCCUCGUGAAGAAGCGAGGAUAUACAUAUAAGACGAGAAGACCCCAUGGAGCUUUAAACGAACUUCAAUUGUUCCUACCCAUAACAUACAAAUUGAACACCCCUGAUAGUUAGUUUUAGGUUGGGGUGACCGCGGAGUAAAACAAAACCUCCACAAUGAAUGAAAUAAAAUUCUUAUAAAAGAACCACAAUUCUAAUAAUCAAAAAUUUGACAUAAAUUGACCCAAACACUUGAUCAAUGAACCAAGUUACCCUGGGGAUAACAGCGCAAUCCAUUUUAAGAGCCCAUAUCGACAAAUGGGUUUACGACCUCGAUGUUG
Molecule: ribosomal RNA, 446 nt
Filed under: Leptopelis gramineus (Ethiopian burrowing tree frog)
Lineage: Eukaryota; Metazoa; Chordata; Amphibia; Anura; Arthroleptidae
Description: partial large subunit ribosomal RNA
Rfam family: Bacterial large subunit ribosomal RNA
Source: RNAcentral